UACGUAGGGUGCAAGCGUUGUCCGGAAUUAUUGGGCGUAAAGAGCUCGUAGGCGGUUUGUCGCGUCUGCUGUGAAAACCCGAGGCUCAACCUCGGGCCUGCAGUGGGUACGGGCAGACUAGAGUGCGGUAGGGGAGACUGGAAUUCCUGGUGUAGCGGUGGAAUGCGCAGAUAUCAGGAGGAACACCGGUGGCGAAGGCGGGUCUCUGGGCAGUAACUGACGCUGAGGAGCGAAAGCGUGGGGAGCGAACAGG
Molecule: ribosomal RNA, 253 nt
Filed under: uncultured bacterium
Lineage: Bacteria
Description: partial 16S ribosomal RNA
Rfam family: Bacterial small subunit ribosomal RNA
Source: RNAcentral